CGUAGGUGAACUGCGGAAGGAUCAUUACUGAGUGCGGGCUGCCUCCGGGCGCCCAACUCCCACCCGUGAAUACUAACACUGUUGCUUCGGCGGGGAACCCCUCGGGGGCGAGCCGCCGGGGACUACUGAACUUCAUGCCUGAGAGUGAUGCAGUCUGAGUCUGAAUAUAAAAUCAGUCAAAACUUUCAACAAUGGAUCUCUUGGUUCCGGCAUCGAUGAAGAACGCAGCGAACUGCGAUAAGUAAUGUGAAUUGCAGAAUUCAGUGAAUCAUCGAGUCUUUGAACGCACAUUGCGCCCCCUGGCAUUCCGGGGGGCAUGCCUGUCCGAGCGUCAUUGCUGCCCAUCAAGCCCGGCUUGUGUGUUGGGUCGUCGUCCCCCCCGGGGGACGGGCCCGAAAGGCAGCGGCGGCACCGUGUCCGGUCCUCGAGCGUAUGGGGCUUUGUCACCCGCUCGACUAGGCCGGCCGGGCGCCAGCGACGUCUCCACCAUUUUCUUCAGUGACCUCGAUCAGUAGAUACCCGCUGAACUUAAGCA
This 535-nucleotide ribosomal RNA is filed under the name Aspergillus sydowii. RNAcentral describes it as "eukaryotic LSU rRNA". The stretch from base 181 to 334 matches the Rfam family "5.8S ribosomal RNA". The record is from RNAcentral. Lineage: Eukaryota; Fungi; Ascomycota; Eurotiomycetes; Eurotiales; Aspergillaceae.